RNAcentral lists this ribosomal RNA (544 nucleotides) under uncultured bacterium. RNAcentral's name for it is "bacterial SSU rRNA". It matches the Rfam family "Bacterial small subunit ribosomal RNA", at positions 61 to 606 of the family's 1533-position model. The record is from RNAcentral.
GUCGAGGGGUAUAGUUCUUCGGAAUUAGAGACCGGCGCACGGGUGCGUAACGCGUAUGCAAUCUACCUUUCACAGAGGGAUAGCCCAGAGAAAUUUGGAUUAAUACCUCAUAGUAUAACGACUCUGCAUGGAGAUGUUAUUAAAGUCACAACGGUGAAAGAUGAGCAUGCGUCCCAUUAGCUAGUUGGUAAGGUAACGGCUUACCAAGGCUACGAUGGGUAGGGGUCCUGAGAGGGAGAUCCCCCACACUGGUACUGAGACACGGACCAGACUCCUACGGGAGGCAGCAGUGAGGAAUAUUGGACAAUGGGCGCAAGCCUGAUCCAGCCAUGCCGCGUGCAGGAUGACGGUCCUAUGGAUUGUAAACUGCUUUUGCACAGGAAGAAACAACUCUACGUGUAGAGUCUUGACGGUACUGUGAGAAUAAGGAUCGGCUAACUCCGUGCCAGCAGCCGCGGUAAUACGGAGGAUCCAAGCGUUAUCCGGAAUCAUUGGGUUUAAAGGGUCCGUAAGCGGUUUAGUAAGUCAGUGGUGAAAGCCCAUC